CCCUCACUUAUCUCUCUCAAUUGAUCGAGCACUCAUAUGUUCUUCUCUCAAAGGCCAAGAUUGGUGGUUUUUAGUCCAAAAAUUGAAGAACAGAUGCGGGAAUUGCUAAACGUGAAGGAGACCUCUGAGGAAUUGCUAAAAAAUGAAGGCCCACCUCCUGUCUAUCUCCCAAGAAUUGCAAAACGUGAAGGGGCUUAGGUUUUAUUGCUCUCAGCUACUCUGAAUCUGUUGAUGGCAUUUGCAACUGGAGGAUAUGCUGCUAUGUAGAGGGUUACACAGUUGAACCUGGAUUUCACAGAGCACAGCAAACAAGGUGAUAGAUACCGUGAUCUAGCUCACCAUGUAGACGAGACUCUUGGAUUUAUGACUGCUGCUGGACUUCCAAUUGACCAUAUCAACGGUGCUUGCUUCUACCGUAUCAAUGGUCUAUUACUAAAUUGGAUUCCACAUCUGGCUUGUACUGCGAUUGUUAAGCCCAUUUCCUUUGGUUCGAUGGUUCUCAUGUUGAAACACCAUCAAAGCUCCUUGUGGUCUAAAGACUCUGCCUUUUGAUGCUACAGGGCGGAAGUAACAGCAUUCUUUGAUGUCCAUAAGCAGGAAGGCAGCCACCCUGGGAGGAGUCCAUCUACAGAUGCCUGGCCAAAAUGUGACAGAAUGCAUUGGUGGAUUGCGUACUGUGACCCUUUGAUGAACUAAGCUCGCGCUACCACACACACUGUGAUCCUAGGCUUAAUGCUUCUCAAUCACUUGAACUUGCAUUUAUCAUGGCUGAGCGACUGAGAAAGAGGCGGCUUGGAUCCCAAAAGUCAAUAGCAUUUUAGAUAUUCUAGAAUGAUUUUGAGGGCGUCAAUUAUGUCUGUACCGUUCUGCAUCAUAUGCUUCUCUGUAUCAAUUUAUACAACAUGUUUGUUUCUCUAUUUAUAAAUAUACCAUGUAUUACUCUGUC
Long non-coding RNA from Coffea arabica (coffee), 946 nucleotides. RefSeq lists it as uncharacterized. NCBI's taxonomy places the organism in Eukaryota, Viridiplantae, Streptophyta, Magnoliopsida, Gentianales, Rubiaceae. The record is from RefSeq and is a predicted model, not a curated record.